Molecule: long non-coding RNA, 927 nt
Organism: Daucus carota subsp. sativus
Lineage: Eukaryota; Viridiplantae; Streptophyta; Magnoliopsida; Apiales; Apiaceae
Exons: 5
Source: RefSeq, a predicted model, not a curated record
AAUCUCUCUCGUGUAAUUGCUCUUUCUUCCUCCUGCCGUUGCUAUAACCGCCGGGUCUUUGCCGCCGCUUUCUCUUCCGGCCAGAACCACCACCGUGGCACCGCCUGUAUCUUCCUCCUUCCGGCAACCACCAUAGCCCUGCACCAGUUAUAAAUCAAAUUGAACGAGACGUUGAUCGAGGCAUUGAUCGAGAAGUGAUUGAAAUGGGUAUUCAGAAAUAGCUAAGUUGUGUUGCAAGUUGAAGUUAGGCAGAGAUUUGCUAUAGAUAAAAUCUUGUCAGAAGCUGGCAGAAAGGAAUGAUAUGGCACUACAUAGUGUUAUUAGAAAUCUGAGAUAGACACCGGAGUUAAGAUAAUGUUAAAGAUGGUUCGCCUAUUUAGGCUAAGCAUAAGAGUAAGGCUAGGCGAGGAUUGCAAGUGACUAAGUUUCAACCUGAUGGUCAGGAAGAGUAUCCAAGAUCGAGUCUUUGGGACUAGUGAAUUGAACGAGACGUUGAUCGAGGCAUUGAUCGAGAAGUGAUUGAAAUGGGUAUUCAGAAAUAGCUAAGUUGUGUUGCAAGUUGAAGUUAGGCAGAGAUUUGCUAUAGAUAAAAUCUUGUCAGAAGCUGGCAGAAAGGAAUGAUAUGGCACUACAUAGUGUUAUUAGAAAUCUGAGAUAGACACCGGAGUUAAGAUAAUGUUAAAGAUGGUUCGCCUAUUUAGGCUAAGCAUAAGAGUAAGGCUAGGCGAGGAUUGCAAGUGACUAAGUUUCAACCUGAUGGUCAGGAAGAGUAUCCAAGAUCGAGUCUUUGGGACUAGUGGUAAUUAGAGUUGUCUGAAUUUGAUUUAGUUGUAAAAGCAUGUAAUAAGAUUUAUUAGUUUUACUUUUCUGAUUUCAAUAAUAUAGCCUGUUUGCGAUCCUGUUUUAAAGGGGGUUAAACUUUGUUCU